This 254-nucleotide ribosomal RNA is filed under the name uncultured bacterium. Its description in RNAcentral is "partial 16S ribosomal RNA". It matches the Rfam family "Bacterial small subunit ribosomal RNA", at positions 524 to 776 of the family's 1533-position model. The record is from RNAcentral.
GACGAACCGUGCGAACGUUAUUCGGAAUCACUGGGCUUAAAGCGCGUGUAGGCGGGCCAGCACGUCGGGCGCUGAAAUCCCCCGGCUCAACCGGGGAACGGGCACCGAUACGACUGGCCUGGAGGGGAGUAGGGGGACCUGGAACUUCCGGUGGAGCGGUGAAAUGCGUUGAGAUCGGAAGGAACGCCCGUGGCGAAAGCGAGGUCCUGGGCUCUUACUGACACUGAGGAGCGAAAGCCAGGGGAGCAAACGGG